UUGCUGUCGUGCCUUCGAUCCGGGCAAAAGAGGCAUCUAUGUUGAUUUUUAGUGUGUCCGCGGUCGGGGGUUGCCAUCUGGAGGUUUUUGACCAAAGAUGAACCGGUUUUAGUUUUUCCAGAUGCACCACAAGAGGGCUAGCUCUCCAUAUCAAGGCUGUCCAAGGGUAGAGCAACAAAGUAUGUUCGAUAGUUUCGGCUUCCCGUUUGCAGAUAGGGCAUAAUGGAUCAG
Eucalyptus grandis is the source of this 231-nucleotide long non-coding RNA. RefSeq lists it as uncharacterized. The transcript has 3 exons. Lineage: Eukaryota; Viridiplantae; Streptophyta; Magnoliopsida; Myrtales; Myrtaceae. The record is from RefSeq and is a predicted model, not a curated record.